RNAcentral lists this ribosomal RNA (465 nucleotides) under uncultured bacterium. RNAcentral describes it as "partial 16S ribosomal RNA". It matches the Rfam family "Bacterial small subunit ribosomal RNA", at positions 338 to 795 of the family's 1533-position model. The record is from RNAcentral.
CCUACGGGAGGCAGCAGUAGGGAAUCUUCCACAAUGGGCGAAAGCCUGAUGGAGCAACGCCGCGUGGGUGAAGAAGGUCUUCGGAUCGUAAAACCCUGUUGUUAGAGGAGAAAGUGCGUGAGAGUAACUGUUCACGUUUCGACGGUAUCUAACCAGAAAGCCACGGCUAACUACGUGCCAGCAGCCGCGGUAAUACGUAGGUGGCAAGCGUUAUCCGGAUUUAUUGGGCGUAAAGGGAACGCAGGCGGUCUUUUAAGUCUGAUGUGAAAGCUUUCGGCUUAACCGGAGUAGUGCAUUGGAGACUGGGAGACUUGAGUGCAGAAGAGGAGAGUGGAACUCCAUGUGUAGCGGUGAAAUGCGUAGAUAUAUGGCAGAACACCAGUGGCGAAAGCGGCUCUCUGGUCUGUAACUGACGCUGAGGUUCGAAAGCGUGGGUAGCAAACAGGAUUAGAUACCCUUGUAGUC